UUGGUGUGAAGAAGGUCCUGUGUUCGAAUCUUAUCAUGGGCAUUAUUUUUACUCGUGCGUCCAGAAGAAUUUGAGACGGACUAAAAUUCUGAGUAGUGGAUUUAGUGAGGAGUUUGAUGGAGAGAAAUAAGGGAUUGGGGUGGUUAUCAAAUAUAUUCUAUUCAUCUUUUUUUUCUUUUUCUUUUUUUACUUUCUCCAAAAUCUCUCCACCCUCUUGUUGUUUUUCUCUUCAUUGUUGUCAAAUUUCUGCUCUCUUUCACCCUUCAUCUUCUUGAUUUUUCUUUUCCCACUCUACCUCGUGUCGCUCCACUUUUGUCAACAAUCGUUCAGUAAGUUUU
This 338-nucleotide long non-coding RNA is filed under the name Gossypium raimondii (Peruvian cotton). RNAcentral's name for it is "long non-coding RNA (GRAI_LNC000598)". The record is from RNAcentral. Lineage: Eukaryota; Viridiplantae; Streptophyta; Magnoliopsida; Malvales; Malvaceae.